Molecule: microRNA precursor, 74 nt
Filed under: Clunio marinus
Lineage: Eukaryota; Metazoa; Arthropoda; Insecta; Diptera; Chironomidae
Description: mir-305 microRNA precursor family
Rfam family: mir-305 microRNA precursor family
Source: Rfam by way of RNAcentral
CAUGUCUAUUGUACUUCAUCAGGUGCUCUGGUUGAAUUUAAAUACCCGGCACAUGUUGGAGUACACCACAUUUG